CGAGGUUACUUCAUAGGUGAUGGUGAUUUACCUACCAAACCUUUCAUCAAAGUCGAGUCAAAAUGCGGAAAGCUUCCAUCAAGGAAGUUCUAGAGUGAGAACAAGUCUAAUGGAGGACUUUUGACUCCACCUCAUUCCCUUAGAAAAGCAAGGACAGAUUAUGCGACCCAAAGUCCACAUGACAAUCUUCCCAACUUCUACCUAAAUCUCCAAGUACUAGCAAGAAUACGAUAGAAGGUAGCAGCUGCCUUCACUAAACAACUCCGUACAAUAUGCUCUCCCGGUCAAAGA
Molecule: long non-coding RNA, 291 nt
Filed under: Elaeis guineensis (African oil palm)
Lineage: Eukaryota; Viridiplantae; Streptophyta; Magnoliopsida; Arecales; Arecaceae
Description: long non-coding RNA (EGUI_LNC014333)
Source: RNAcentral